GAGACUCUGUGCGCGUGCAUAUCAAUAAGCGGAGGAAAAGAAACUAACUAGGAUUCCCUUAGUAACGGCGAGUGAAGCGGGAAGAGCUCAAAUUUGAAAUCUUCAAGGUUCUACCUUGACGAAUUGUAGUUUAUAAGAAGUGUUUUCUGUUAGUGGAGUUGGCUAAAAGUUCUUUGGAAUAGGACAUCAUAGAGGGUGAGAAUCCCGUAUUAGGUACAUUCUCUUCCUAGCUGUUGUGAUACACUUUCAACGAGUCGGAUUGUUUGGGAAUGCAGUCCAAAGUGGGUGGUAAAUUUCAUCUAAAGCUAAAUAUUGGCGAGAGACCGAUAGCGAACAAGUACCGUGAGGGAAAGAUGAAAAGAACUUUGAAAAGAGAGUUAAACAGUACGUGAAAUUGUCAAAAGGGAAGCGUUUGACACCAGUGUUGUUUUCUCGAAAAUCAAUUAAAAAUGAUGGGAUUUUGUGUUGUAUUGACUUUAUCAGCUUUCUGCACUUUUUUCUUGAUCUUUUUUAAUGCACUUUUCGUUUAACAGGUCAACAUCAAUUUCUUUUGUUGUAAAAGAGUCAUUGGAAGGUGGCUUUUCAUUUCGGAAGAAGUGUUUAUAGCCUUUGACUUCUGCAAUCGGAGAGAUUGAGGUCUGCAGCGUAGAUCCUUCGGGGUUAGAUACAUUUGUGCUAAGCUAUAGUUCUUUAUAGACAACAUUGUUGACUAUGAUCAAUCCUGUAGCUUACUCGCUUAUGCUAUUUUACCUACGCUUAGGAUGUUGAACUCUAUCACACACAG
Molecule: ribosomal RNA, 784 nt
Filed under: uncultured Neocallimastigales
Lineage: Eukaryota; Fungi; Neocallimastigomycota; Neocallimastigomycetes; Neocallimastigales
Description: partial large subunit ribosomal RNA
Rfam family: Eukaryotic large subunit ribosomal RNA
Source: RNAcentral